GCGGGCGUGGCGGAAUUGGUAGACGCAAAGGACUUAAAAUCCUUCGGCUCGAAGGAGCCGUGCCGGUUCGACCCCGGCCGCCCGCACCA
RNAcentral lists this transfer RNA (89 nucleotides) under Methylovirgula ligni. Its description in RNAcentral is "tRNA-Leu". It matches the Rfam family "tRNA". From Rfam's summary of the family: Transfer RNA (tRNA) molecules are approximately 80 nucleotides in length. Their secondary structure includes four short double-helical elements and three loops (D, anti-codon, and T loops). Further hydrogen bonds mediate the characteristic L-shaped molecular structure. tRNAs have two regions of fundamental functional importance: the anti-codon, which is responsible for specific mRNA codon recognition, and the 3' end, to which the tRNAs corresponding amino acid is attached (by aminoacyl-tRNA synthetases). tRNAs cope with the degeneracy of the genetic code in two manners: having more than one tRNA (with a specific anti-codon) for a particular amino acid; and 'wobble' base-pairing, i.e. permitting non-standard base-pairing at the 3rd anti-codon position. The record is from RNAcentral. Lineage: Bacteria; Pseudomonadati; Pseudomonadota; Alphaproteobacteria; Hyphomicrobiales; Beijerinckiaceae.